UGGCUCAGAACGAACGCUGGCGGCGUGCCUAAUGCAUGCAAGUCGCACGCGCGGUGCUUCGGCAUCGUGAGUGGCGCACGGCUGAGGAACACGUGGGAACCUGCCUCCUUGUGGGGGACAACAGCGCGAAAGCGCUGCUAAUCCCGCAUACGCUCUCUCACGAGAGGAAAGCCUUACGGCGCAGGGAGAAGGGCCCGCGGCCCAUCAGGUCGUAGGUGGGGUAACGGCCUACCUAGCCAAUGGCGGGUAGCUGGUCUGUGAGGACAGACAGCCAGACUGGGACUGAUACUCGGCCCAGAGGAAUACGGGAGGCAGC
Molecule: ribosomal RNA, 316 nt
Filed under: uncultured bacterium
Lineage: Bacteria
Description: bacterial SSU rRNA
Rfam family: Bacterial small subunit ribosomal RNA
Source: RNAcentral